Molecule: ribosomal RNA, 1029 nt
Filed under: Triticum aestivum (bread wheat)
Lineage: Eukaryota; Viridiplantae; Streptophyta; Magnoliopsida; Poales; Poaceae
Description: partial small subunit ribosomal RNA
Source: RNAcentral
AUGCUUGAGCUUGGAGAUAGCUACUUCAACGAGCUAGUAAACAGAAACAUGAUCAUGCCGAUAAACAUACAUGCUGAUGGUAGGGUUGAAGCUUGUUGCGUACAUGAUAUCAUGCUCGAUCUUAUAUUUGAAUUAGCAAGUGGAGAAAACUUUGUUACUAUACUGGAUGUUAUCAAGGGACGCACACCUUUGGAAAAGAAGUUCCGCAGAUUGUCCCUCCAGAAGAGCAUGACAGAUCUCACCAAUGCUCAGAUAGCUACCACAAGCAUGUCACAAGUGAGGUCUUUUACGGCUUUUAGUCCUGCUGUUAGUAAGAUCCCCCCUCUCUAUAUAUUUCAAGUUUUGCGUGUAUUGGAUCUGGAAGGUUGCGAUCUUCGAAAAAGCCCUGGCAUUGAUCUUAGGCAUGUUGAGAAGUUGUUACAUUUGAGAUACCUAGGGUUAAGAGGCACAAAGGUUGGGAAGCUCCCGAUGGAAAUAGGUAAGCUACAGUUUUUGCAGACACUAGACUUGCAAUGGACCAAUUCAAAAGAAUUGCCGUCCAGUGUUGCUCAGUUGAGGCAUUUGAUGUGCCUUAUCCUUGAUUUAGGUAUGCCACUACCAAACGGGUUCAGCAACCUGACAUGCCUUGAACAGCUGACGGGACAUGGAGAGGGCAUUUUUACUGCAGACAACGCAAAAGAGGUGGGCUGUCUGAUCAAGCUAAGGGAGCUCGCCUUCAUCUGGAAUGGAUGGAGUCGUACGGACGAUCUGACAACGGUUAAAGCUUUGUUUGAGUCCCUAAGCAACAUGCAAAAAUUCGAGAGUCUAGAGAUCUCCGAUGUUGAUUCUUGGGUUUUUCAACUUAUGCUGAAGCUGGAUUGGGUGCCGCCUCCAAACCUCCGCAGGCUUAAAUUAGUAGGAGUUUUCUGGAACUUGCCUACAUGGAUUUGUUCUUCGUUGCUUCCCCUACUUUCCCACCUUGAUCUAACAACUAACAGGAAAGUGCAAUCCGGAGAUAUUCAGAUCCUUGGAAUGCUGAGGGCUAUCUAG